GCCUAAAGCGUCCGUAGCCUGAUCUAUAAGUUUCCGGUUAAAUCCACAUGCUCAACAUUUGGGCUGCCGGAAAAACUGUAGAUCUAGGGAGUGGGAGAGGUAGACGGUACUCGAUAGGAAGGGGUAAAAUCCUUUGAUCUAUUGAUGACCACCAGUGGCGAAGGCGGUCUACCAGAACACGUUCGACGGUGAGGGAUGAAAGCUGGGGGAGCAAACCGGAUUAGAUACCCGGGUAGUCCCAGCUGUAAACGAUGCAGACUCGGUGAUGCAUUGGCUUGUGGCCAGUGCAGUGCCGCAGGGAAGCCGUUAAGUUUGCCGCCUGGGAAGUACGUACGCAAGUAUGAAACUUAAAGGAAUUGGCGGGGGAGCACCACAAGGGGUGAAGCCUGCGGUUCAAUUGGAGUCAACGCCAGAAAUCUUACCCGGAGAGACAGCAGAAUGAAGGUCAAGCUGAAGACUUUACCAGACAAGCUGAGAGGUGGUGCAUGGCCGUCGCCAGCUCGUGCCGUGAGAUGUCCUGUUAAGUCAGGUAACGAGCGAGACCCUUGCCUCUAGUUGCCACCAUUGCUCUCUGGAGCAGUGGGGCGAAUUAGCGGGACCGCCGCAGUUAAUGCGGAGGAAGGAAAGGGCUACGGCAGGUCAGUAUGCCCCGAA
RNAcentral lists this ribosomal RNA (654 nucleotides) under uncultured archaeon. Its description in RNAcentral is "bacterial SSU rRNA". It matches the Rfam family "Archaeal small subunit ribosomal RNA", at positions 508 to 1160 of the family's 1478-position model. The record is from RNAcentral.